RNAcentral lists this ribosomal RNA (449 nucleotides) under uncultured bacterium. RNAcentral describes it as "partial 16S ribosomal RNA". It matches the Rfam family "Bacterial small subunit ribosomal RNA", at positions 338 to 795 of the family's 1533-position model. The record is from RNAcentral.
CCUACGGGUGGCUGCAGUGGGGAAUUUUGGACAAUGGGCGCAAGCCUGAUCCAGCCAUGCCGCGUGAGUGAAGAAGGCCUUCGGGUUGUAAAGCUCUUUCGGCGGGGAAGAAAUUGCACUCGUUAAUACCGGGUGUAGAUGACGGUACCCGCAUAAGAAGCACCGGCUAACUACGUGCCAGCAGCCGCGGUAAUACGUAGGGUGCGACCGUUCGUCGGAAGUACUGGGCGGGUUGCGUAAGCAGGAUGUUAAAUCCCCGGGCUCAACCUGGGAACUGCAUUUGAGACUGCACGGCUAGAGGAUGGCAGAGGGGGGUAGAAUUCCACGUGUAGCAGUGAAAUGCGUAGAGAUGUGGAGGAAUACCGAUGGCGAAGGCAGCCCCCUGGGCUAUUUCUGACACUCAUGCACGAAAGCGUGGGGAGCAAACAGGAUUAGAUACCCCUGUAGUC